RNAcentral lists this ribosomal RNA (253 nucleotides) under uncultured bacterium. Its description in RNAcentral is "partial 16S ribosomal RNA". It matches the Rfam family "Bacterial small subunit ribosomal RNA", at positions 524 to 776 of the family's 1533-position model. The record is from RNAcentral.
UACAGAGGGUGCAAGCGUUGCUCGGAAUCAUUGGGCGUAAAGGGUAGGUAGGUGGUCUCGUUUGUCUGGGGUGAAAGCCUUGAGCUUAACUCAAGAAGUGCCUUAGAAACGGCGAGACUGGAGUCUUGGAGAGGGUCGUGGAAUUCCCGGUGUAGCGGUGAAAUGCGCAGAUAUCGGGAGGAACACCGGUGGCGAAGGCGGUUCUCUGGGCCUGUAUUGACGCUGAGGAGCGAAAGCGUGGGGAGCGAACAGG